UGGGGAAUUUUGGACAAUGGGCGCAAGCCUGAUCCAGCCAUGCCGCGUGCAGGAUGAAGGCCCUCGGGUUGUAAACUGCUUUUGUACGGAACGAAAAGCCUCUUUCUAAUAAAGAGGGGUGAUGCCGGUACCGUAAGAAUAAGCACCGGCUAACUACGUGCCAGCAGCCGCGGUAAUACGGAGGGUGCGAGCGUUACUCGGCAUUACUGGGCGUAAAGCGUGCGCAGGCGGGCUUGCAAGACAGUGGUGAAAUCCCCGGGCUCAACCUGGGAACUGCCAUUGGUACUGCAAAGCUUGAGUGCGGCAGAGGGGGAUAGAAUGCCGCGUGUAGCAGUUAAAUGCGUAGAUAUGCGGAGGAACACCGAUGGCGAAGGCAGUCCCCUGGGCCUGUACUGACGCUCAUGCACGAAAGCGUGGGGAGCAAA
RNAcentral lists this ribosomal RNA (425 nucleotides) under uncultured bacterium. RNAcentral describes it as "bacterial SSU rRNA". It matches the Rfam family "Bacterial small subunit ribosomal RNA", at positions 355 to 772 of the family's 1533-position model. The record is from RNAcentral.